UACGUAGGGGGCAAGCGUUGUCCGGAUUUAUUGGGCGUAAAGAGCGUGUAGGCGGCCAUACAGGUCCGUUGUGAAAACUGGAGGCUUAACCUCCAGACGUCGAUGGAAACCGUAUGGCUAGAGUCCGGAAGAGGAGAGUGGAAUUCCUGGUGUAGCGGUGAAAUGCGCAGAUAUCGUAAGGAAGACCAGUGGCGAAGGCGGGUCUCUGGACAGCUCCUGACGCUGAGGCACGAAGGUCAGGGGAGCAAACGGG
This 253-nucleotide ribosomal RNA is filed under the name uncultured bacterium. RNAcentral's name for it is "partial 16S ribosomal RNA". It matches the Rfam family "Bacterial small subunit ribosomal RNA", at positions 524 to 776 of the family's 1533-position model. The record is from RNAcentral.